UACUUAUCUGUUGGCUUUCAUGUUGGACACUGAUUUUGAUAUACUGUCUUUCUAAUUGCACUGCAUGUGGAAUCACAAGAAUGACGAGCUACACAGAUAAAGGCGAGAAACAUGCACGAGGAAGAUUUGUCCGCUUUCAUCACCUUACCUUCUGGGUGGGAAAUGCCAAACAGGUAAUGAAUAGAGAACAUAGAGUUUUGUCCUUUGGCAGAUAUUACUGCCAAAGGCAGAUAUUACAAUUUCGCUAUGGUGC
This is a long non-coding RNA of Gadus chalcogrammus (walleye pollock), 253 nucleotides long. RefSeq lists it as uncharacterized. Lineage: Eukaryota; Metazoa; Chordata; Actinopteri; Gadiformes; Gadidae. The record is from RefSeq and is a predicted model, not a curated record. The transcript is spliced from 3 exons.